GUGCCAGCCGCCGCGGUAAUACCGGCAGCUCGAGUGAUGGCCAAUAUUAUUGGGCCUAAAGCGUCCGUAGCUGGCCGGACAAGUCCGUCGGGAAAUCCAUCCGCCUAACGGAUGGGCGACCGGCGGAAACUGUUCGGCUUGGGGCCGGAAGACCCGAGGGGUACGUCCGGGGUAGGAGUGAAAUCCCGUAAUCCUGGACGGACCGCCGGUGGCGAAAGCGCCUCGGGAAGACGGACCCGACAGUGAGGGACGAAAGCUGGGGUCUCGAACCGGAUUAGAUACCCCGGUAGUCC
This 293-nucleotide ribosomal RNA is filed under the name uncultured bacterium. Its description in RNAcentral is "partial 16S ribosomal RNA". It matches the Rfam family "Archaeal small subunit ribosomal RNA", at positions 455 to 747 of the family's 1478-position model. The record is from RNAcentral.